AGCGAACGCUGGCGGCAGGCCUAACACAUGCAAGUCGAACGAACCUUUCGGGGUUAGUGGCGGACGGGUGAGUAACACGUGGGAACGUGCCUUUAGGUUCGGAAUAACUCAGGGAAACUUGUGCUAAUACCGAAUGUGCCCUUCGGGGGAAAGAUUUAUCGCCUUUAGAGCGGCCUGCGUCUGAUUAGCUAGUUGGUUGAGGUAAUGGCCCACCAAGGUGACGAUCAGUAGCUGGUCUGAGAGGAUGAUCAGCCACAUUGGGUCUGAGACACGGCCCAAACUCCUACGGGAGGCAGCAAUGGGGGAUCUUGCACAAUGGGCGGAGGCCUGACGCGGCCAUGCCGAGUGAAUAAUGAAGGUCUUAGGAUUGGAAAAUUCUUUCACCGGGGACGGUAAUGACGGUACCAGGAGAAGAAGCCCCGGCUAACUUCGUG
This 434-nucleotide ribosomal RNA is filed under the name uncultured bacterium. Its description in RNAcentral is "partial 16S ribosomal RNA". It matches the Rfam family "Bacterial small subunit ribosomal RNA", at positions 29 to 507 of the family's 1533-position model. The record is from RNAcentral.